CUCUGUUCCCCACUCUGUUUUAAAACCUUGUUUCAUUCAUGUUAGCAGCUCAUAAAUGGCCGCCCACAGCCUCAGCAAAAACAAGCCGAGGCCCUUCACUUUUAUACGACGCAAUCUGCUGUGGGGCCUUAAUCACCUCCCUGUAUUUUUAAUAGAGGAGGCUUAGGUUUGAUAAGAGGUAAUACAGAGGGCAGGAAUGUGUUCCUAUAUUGGGCAAAAAAACAGCUGUAUGCAACUUUUAGAACAUAAUUGGUAAAAAACUGACAUGAAGAGAUGUGUUUUCCUGUUAUGGUAAGUGAAAGCAUCCUUCUUGUUAGGCCAGUAUAAACAUGCGUCAUUAAAAUAGAGUCUAAUGGCCAUAAGCCCUGGGGCCCAACAGUGUCAAAGGGCCCCACAGUCCAGAGUCUGGGUGAAGUGGCUAUUAUUAGUAUUUCAGUCUGCAGAAAGCAAAGACUCAGUGAUAUGUGUCAGUAACUGAAAGAUUUUAAACAUUCUCAAAAUAUUCAGCAGAGUGACAGUCUGUGUAAACUUACGAGAAUUAGGACUUAAGGUGAAUUACAUUUGAAGAUAUCAAUAUUUAGUGAGAUGUCAGUUAAAAAUCCAGGAAUGUUUUGGUUUGCCAAUGAAGACAGAAUUAAACAGGUUUUUAUUUUUUUAUUUUGUUUUUGUUUUUUUAAACACCUGCUGAUUUUUUGUUCCCAAAGUCUGGAAAAGACAUGUGAUUGGAUUUAGCAUUUGGAAGCUAUGUUGCUAUCCUGGUUCUGCUUUCUUUUGUUAUCAUUGGGCUGCGCAAUGAAUCAAUGACUCAAAACCAACAUUCCCAACUUCAAAUCGAUGUAAUCGUCAUGUAAAUCCAUGUCAGUAAUGUGAUUUUUGUUUGUUUGUUUUAAAAUUCUGCAAAUGCUUCCCUGUUAUCUACUGUCCCCUUUAAAAAACACUACAGUGUGCUGUCACAUGACGCCGCCCUGUCCCGUCUGCAACAUGGAAACAUGAUGGAGUCGAACAGUUUGUAGCAGACACAAAUGCCGUGUCUGUUGUUUGGCGACGUUUUUUUUUUUCAUGGUAAAGAUGUCGUCAAACUUGGAGCACCAUCAUAUCAUCAAAAAUGAUCCAAAAUUUAGCAGUUGAGCACAUUUACAGUGCAAACCUUGUGUGUGUGUUAAUGUUAAUUGUUCAUUAAUCAAAAUCAAGGUAAAAAUAUUAAUUACUUGUGAUUUAAUCUGAGAUUGUUUCACAUAAAGACAUAGAAGCAACAUAUAUA
Long non-coding RNA from Astatotilapia calliptera (eastern happy), 1261 nucleotides. The record is from Ensembl. Lineage: Eukaryota; Metazoa; Chordata; Actinopteri; Cichliformes; Cichlidae.